CGACCCCAGGUCAGGCGGGGUUACCCGCUGAAUUUAAACA
Molecule: ribosomal RNA, 40 nt
Filed under: Crataegus douglasii
Lineage: Eukaryota; Viridiplantae; Streptophyta; Magnoliopsida; Rosales; Rosaceae
Description: partial 26S ribosomal RNA
Source: RNAcentral